This 490-nucleotide ribosomal RNA is filed under the name Pseudomonas fulva. RNAcentral's name for it is "bacterial SSU rRNA". It matches the Rfam family "Bacterial small subunit ribosomal RNA", at positions 10 to 496 of the family's 1533-position model. The record is from RNAcentral. Lineage: Bacteria; Pseudomonadati; Pseudomonadota; Gammaproteobacteria; Pseudomonadales; Pseudomonadaceae.
AGUUUGAUCCUGGCUCAGGAUGAACGCUGGCGGCAGGCCUAACACAUGCAAGUCGAGCGGAUGACGGAAGCUUGCUCCUGGAUUCAGCGGCGGACGGGUGAGUAAUGCCUAGGAAUCUGCCUGGUAGUGGGGGACAACGUUUCGAAAGGAACGCUAAUACCGCAUACGUCCUACGGGAGAAAGCAGGGGACCUUCGGGCCUUGCGCUAUCAGAUGAGCCUAGGUCGGAUUAGCUAGUUGGUGAGGUAAUGGCUCACCAAGGCGACGAUCCGUAACUGGUCUGAGAGGAUGAUCAGUCACACUGGAACUGAGACACGGUCCAGACUCCUACGGGAGGCAGCAGUGGGGAAUAUUGGACAAUGGGCGAAAGGUGAUCCAGCCAUGCCGCGUGUGUGAAGAAGGUCUUCGGAUUGUAAAGCACUUUAAGUUGGGAGGAAGGGUUGUAGAUUAAUACUCUGCAAUUUUGACGUUACCGACAGAAUAAGCACCGG